GUGCAGCAGUCGCGAAACCUUCGCAAUGCGGGAAACCGCGACGAGGGGACUCCCAGUGCCUACGCUCAGCGUAGGCUGUUCCCGAGCCUAGAAAGCUCGGGGAGUAAGGGCUGGGUAAGACGGGUGCCAGCCGCCGCGGUAAUACCCGCAGCCCGAGUGGUGGCCACUAUUAUUGGGCCUAAAGCGUCCGUAGCCGGCCCGGUAAAUGCCUGGGUAAAUCGUGAGGCCUAACCUCACGAAUUCCGGGUAGACUGCCGGGCUAGGGGACCGGAGGAGGGAGAGGGUACUCCGAGGGGUAGGGGUGAAAUCCUGUAAUCCCUGGAGGACCACCGGUGGCGAAGGCGCUCUCCUAGGACGGGUCCGACGGUGAGGGACGAAAGCCAGGGGAGCGAACCGGAUUAGAUACCCGGGUAGU
This 415-nucleotide ribosomal RNA is filed under the name uncultured microorganism. RNAcentral's name for it is "bacterial SSU rRNA". It matches the Rfam family "Archaeal small subunit ribosomal RNA", at positions 330 to 745 of the family's 1478-position model. The record is from RNAcentral.